UACGGGGAGGCAGCAGUCGGGGAAUAUUGCACAAUGGGGGAAACCCUGAUGCAGCCAUGCCGCGUGUGUGAAGAAGGCCUUCGGGUUGUAAAGCACUUUCAGUAGGGAGGAAGGUAGUGUAGUUAACACCUGCAUUAUUUGACGUUACCUACAGAAGAAGCACCGGCUAACUCCGUGCCAGCAGCCGCGGUAAUACGGAGGGUGCGAGCGUUAAUCGGAAUUACUGGGCGUAAAGCGCAUGCAGGCGGCCUGUUAAGUCAGAUGUGAAAGCCCGGGGCUUAACCUCGGAAUUGCAUUUGAAACUGGCAGGCUAGAGUCUUGUAGAGGGGGGUAGGAAUUUCAGGUGUAGCGGUGAAAUGCGUAGAGAUCUGAAGGAAUACCAGUGGCGAAGGCGGCCCCCUGGACAAAGACUGACGCUCAGAUGCGAAAGCGUGGGGAGCAAACAGGAUUAGAUACCCUGGUAG
Molecule: ribosomal RNA, 464 nt
Filed under: uncultured bacterium
Lineage: Bacteria
Description: bacterial SSU rRNA
Rfam family: Bacterial small subunit ribosomal RNA
Source: RNAcentral